This 248-nucleotide ribosomal RNA is filed under the name uncultured Cryobacterium sp. RNAcentral describes it as "partial 16S ribosomal RNA". It matches the Rfam family "Bacterial small subunit ribosomal RNA", at positions 27 to 273 of the family's 1533-position model. The record is from RNAcentral. Lineage: Bacteria; Bacillati; Actinomycetota; Actinomycetes; Micrococcales; Microbacteriaceae.
GGACGAACGCUGGCGGCGUGCUUAACACAUGCAAGUCGAACGAUGAAGCUGGAGCUUGCUCCGGCGGAUUAGUGGCGAACGGGUGAGUAACACGUGAGCAAUCUGCCCUUGACUCUGGGAUAACUGCGGGAAACUGUAGCUAAUACCGGAUACUUUCCUCGGUGGGCAUCCACUGGGGAAGAAAGAAUUUCGGUCAAGGAUGAGCUCGCGACCUAUCAGCUAGUUGGUGAGGUAAAGGCUCACCAAGG